RNAcentral lists this ribosomal RNA (247 nucleotides) under uncultured bacterium. Its description in RNAcentral is "partial 16S ribosomal RNA". It matches the Rfam family "Bacterial small subunit ribosomal RNA", at positions 524 to 770 of the family's 1533-position model. The record is from RNAcentral.
UACGUAGGGGGCGAGCGUUGCCCGGAUUCACUGGGCGUAAAGCGGGUGUAGGCGGUCUCUUAAGUCGGAUGUGAAAUCCUGCGGCCUAACCGCGGAACUGCAUCCGAUACUGGGAGACUUGAGGACGGUAGAGGUCGGUGGAAUUCCCGGUGUACCGGUGAAAUGGACAGAUAUCGGGAGGAACACCAGUGGCGAAGGCGGCCGACUGGGCCGAUCCUGACGCUGAGACCCGAAAGCCAGGGUAGCG